GUUCAUUUUUCUUGCAAAUAUACUAAAAUUGGAAUGACAGAAGAUUAUCAUGACCUCUGCAUAGGGAUGAUCCACACAUUUGUGAGCCUUUCCAUAUUUUU
Molecule: small nuclear RNA, 101 nt
Filed under: Peromyscus maniculatus bairdii (prairie deer mouse)
Lineage: Eukaryota; Metazoa; Chordata; Mammalia; Rodentia; Cricetidae
Source: RNAcentral